Papio anubis (olive baboon) is the source of this 148-nucleotide unclassified non-coding RNA. It matches the Rfam family "Metazoan signal recognition particle RNA". Rfam says of the family: The signal recognition particle (SRP) is a universally conserved ribonucleoprotein. The record is from Ensembl. Lineage: Eukaryota; Metazoa; Chordata; Mammalia; Primates; Cercopithecidae.
GCCGGGUGUGGUGGUGCAUGCCUGUAAUCCCAGCUACUUGGGAGGCUGAGGUAGGAGAAUCACUUGAACCCAGGAGGCGGAGGUUGCAGUGAGCCCAGAUUUUACCACUGCACUCUAGCCUGGGUGACAGAGCAAGAUCCUGUCUCAA